UGGCAGCACACCGGGGCAGGGAUCCCAGCUCCCUAGAGGCAGGAUGGCUCCAGAUCACCUGUGCUGCUGUCUGCUGUGGAGAUGUUUUUCCUGAAGCCCUGCUGCUGGCGGAAGGCAGAGUUAUGAAUGUGUGAUGAGGUUCACCUAACAGCUUUGUUUGCAGUUUUCUACCAGAUAACACAAGUUUGUAUGUUUUACAGACCAAAUCAGCAGCUGUUACACUCUGAAGGAGCCUGUCUCUCCCUGAGAACACGAAAACACAGCAAGCACCAGUCUGGCAAAGCCAUCUCACCUCCCCACCACCAUCUCCUGCUCUGCACUGGCAGCACUGCAGUUAUUUCCUCAUUGUACCUCCCCUUGGAAUGCAAGAGAGAUUUCACAGCUAUCUUUAGACUGGACACAGGAGCAGGAGAUGAAGCUGA
Long non-coding RNA from Motacilla alba alba, 422 nucleotides. RefSeq lists it as uncharacterized. The transcript is spliced from 3 exons. Lineage: Eukaryota; Metazoa; Chordata; Aves; Passeriformes; Motacillidae. The record is from RefSeq and is a predicted model, not a curated record.